GUGGGGAAUAUUGGGCAAUGGGGGAAACCCUGACCCAGCAACGCCGCGUGAAGGAAGACGGUUUUCGGAUUGUAAACUUCUUUUAUCGGGGACGAAAAAAAUGACGGUACCCGAAGAAAAAGCCACGGCUAACUACGUGCCAGCAGCCGCGGUAAUACGUAGGUGGCAAGCGUUGUCCGGAUUUACUGGGUGUAAAGGGCGUGUAGGCGGGACUGCAAGUCAGAUGUGAAAUACCAAGGCUUAACCUUGGGGCUGCAUUUGAAACUGUAGUUCUUGAGUGAUGGAGAGGCAGGCGGAAUUCCUAGUGUAGCGGUGAAAUGCGUAGAUAUUAGGAGGAACACCAGUGGCGAAGGCGGCCUGCUGGACAUUAACUGACGCUGAGGCGCGAAAGCGUGGGGAGCAAACAGGAUUAGAAACCCCUGUAGUCC
This 428-nucleotide ribosomal RNA is filed under the name uncultured bacterium. RNAcentral describes it as "partial 16S ribosomal RNA". It matches the Rfam family "Bacterial small subunit ribosomal RNA", at positions 354 to 796 of the family's 1533-position model. The record is from RNAcentral.